RNAcentral lists this ribosomal RNA (534 nucleotides) under Aspergillus flavus. RNAcentral describes it as "partial 18S ribosomal RNA". The stretch from base 212 to 365 matches the Rfam family "5.8S ribosomal RNA". Lineage: Eukaryota; Fungi; Ascomycota; Eurotiomycetes; Eurotiales; Aspergillaceae. The record is from RNAcentral.
CCGUAGGUGAACCUGCGGAAGGAUCAUUACCGAGUGUAGGGUUCCUAGCGAGCCCAACCUCCCACCCGUGUUUACUGUACCUUAGUUGCUUCGGCGGGCCCGCCAUUCAUGGCCGCCGGGGGCUCUCAGCCCCGGGCCCGCGCCCGCCGGAGACACCACGAACUCUGUCUGAUCUAGUGAAGUCUGAGUUGAUUGUAUCGCAAUCAGUUAAAACUUUCAACAAUGGAUCUCUUGGUUCCGGCAUCGAUGAAGAACGCAGCGAAAUGCGAUAACUAGUGUGAAUUGCAGAAUUCCGUGAAUCAUCGAGUCUUUGAACGCACAUUGCGCCCCCUGGUAUUCCGGGGGGCAUGCCUGUCCGAGCGUCAUUGCUGCCCAUCAAGCACGGCUUGUGUGUUGGGUCGUCGUCCCCUCUCCGGGGGGGACGGGCCCCAAAGGCAGCGGCGGCACCGCGUCCGAUCCUCGAGCGUAUGGGGCUUUGUCACCCGCUCUGUAGGCCCGGCCGGCGCUUGCCGAACGCAAAUCGAAUCUUUUUCC